CCUACGGGUGGCAGCAGUCGGGAAUAUUGCGCAAUGGAGGAAACUCUGACGCAGUGACGCCGCGUAUAGGAAGAAGGUUUUCGGAUUGUAAACUAUUGUCGUUAGGGAAGAUAAAAGACUGUACCUAAGGAGGAAGCCCCGGCUAACUAUGUGCCAGCAGCCGCGGUAAUACGUAGGUGGCAAGCGUUGUCCGGAAUUACUGGGUGUAAAGGGAGCGCAGGCGGGAAGCCAAGUCAGCUGUGAAAACUACGGGCUUAACUUGUAGACUGCAGUUGAAACUGGUUUUCUUGAGUGAAGUAGAGGUUGGCGGAAUUCCGGGUGUAGCGGUGAAAUGCGUAGAUAUUCGGAAGAACACCGGUGGCGAAGGCGGCCAACUGGGCUUUAACUGACGCUGAGGCUCGAAAGUGUGGGGAGCAAACAGGAUUAGAUACCCCAGUAGUC
Molecule: ribosomal RNA, 441 nt
Filed under: uncultured bacterium
Lineage: Bacteria
Description: partial 16S ribosomal RNA
Rfam family: Bacterial small subunit ribosomal RNA
Source: RNAcentral